GAAGGUAUAGCUCAGUGGUAGAGUGCAUGCCUAGCAUUUGUGAGGUCCUGGGUUCAAACCCGGUUUUUCUG
RNAcentral lists this transfer RNA (71 nucleotides) under Camelus bactrianus (Bactrian camel). It matches the Rfam family "tRNA". Rfam says of the family: Transfer RNA (tRNA) molecules are approximately 80 nucleotides in length. Their secondary structure includes four short double-helical elements and three loops (D, anti-codon, and T loops). The record is from Rfam by way of RNAcentral. RNAcentral also lists the same sequence under 2 other names. Lineage: Eukaryota; Metazoa; Chordata; Mammalia; Artiodactyla; Camelidae.